This 70-nucleotide transfer RNA is filed under the name Marmota monax (woodchuck). RNAcentral describes it as "tRNA.Met". The record is from RNAcentral. Lineage: Eukaryota; Metazoa; Chordata; Mammalia; Rodentia; Sciuridae.
GUAUAUAGCUCAGUUGACAGAGUGCUUGCUUCAUAUGUACAAGGCCCUGGGUUCAAUCCCCAGCAUCACA